AACAAGAUGAAGUGGGAGAAGGCUAUGGCUGCUGAACGUAGAAGGGAGGACUUGUUCUUAGGAGUGGCGUUGGGUCUGAAAAGAAGAGGCGGCCUUGCAGACGGGCAGGAUGGCAAUUACAAGGACUGUCAAAUCACACUUGGGCUCCUCGUCUUCCUAAGCCGUGUUGUCGUUUCAGUGGGAUUCUUAGUCCACAGACACUCUCUGAGCAGUCAUCAUAUUCCUAGCAGAUUGCUUUGGCCUCUUCUACACCAAUCCUGCUGGACACCUGUGAGGGAGCCCUAGAUGAUGUUCCUCUGAUCAGAUCACACCACGGCUGGGUUGUAGAAGGAUCUGCAGGAGCCAAGACCAUCCUGUACCAGCCAGUCCUCUGCAGUCCUGCAGUCAGUGCUAUUUGACUUACACAUGAAUGAGCUCAGACAUGG
This is a long non-coding RNA of Mus musculus (house mouse), 425 nucleotides long. RefSeq annotates it as predicted gene, 31965. The transcript is spliced from 3 exons. Lineage: Eukaryota; Metazoa; Chordata; Mammalia; Rodentia; Muridae. The record is from RefSeq and is a predicted model, not a curated record.